AUGGCUAGUGAAGAGUCCCACUGGAUUGGGACUCUUCGACCAAGAGUCCUAAUACUUGGGAACUCUGAGUCCUACAUGUCUGAGACUCUAUGAUCGAGAAUCAGGAUUUUCUGAUCAUGAGUUCCACACAUUUUGGAUAUCGGGGUCAAGAGUUUCACUGAUUUGGGACUCUUCGAUCAGGAUUUCAUAUCGAUGGACUUUGAUGCCCGAUUGCCAAUCGGAUUUGGACUCAAUAUUUAUGAGAG
RNAcentral lists this long non-coding RNA (245 nucleotides) under Elaeis guineensis (African oil palm). RNAcentral's name for it is "long non-coding RNA (EGUI_LNC047900)". The record is from RNAcentral. Lineage: Eukaryota; Viridiplantae; Streptophyta; Magnoliopsida; Arecales; Arecaceae.